GCCGGCGUAGCUCAAUUGGCAGAGCAUGGGAUUUGUAAUCCCAGGGUUGAGGGUUCAAGUCCCUCCGCCGGCUCCA
This 76-nucleotide transfer RNA is filed under the name Thermodesulfatator atlanticus. RNAcentral's name for it is "tRNA-Thr". It matches the Rfam family "tRNA". From Rfam's summary of the family: Transfer RNA (tRNA) molecules are approximately 80 nucleotides in length. Their secondary structure includes four short double-helical elements and three loops (D, anti-codon, and T loops). Further hydrogen bonds mediate the characteristic L-shaped molecular structure. tRNAs have two regions of fundamental functional importance: the anti-codon, which is responsible for specific mRNA codon recognition, and the 3' end, to which the tRNAs corresponding amino acid is attached (by aminoacyl-tRNA synthetases). tRNAs cope with the degeneracy of the genetic code in two manners: having more than one tRNA (with a specific anti-codon) for a particular amino acid; and 'wobble' base-pairing, i.e. permitting non-standard base-pairing at the 3rd anti-codon position. The record is from RNAcentral. Lineage: Bacteria; Pseudomonadati; Thermodesulfobacteriota; Thermodesulfobacteria; Thermodesulfobacteriales; Thermodesulfatatoraceae.